Siniperca chuatsi (mandarin fish) is the source of this 4505-nucleotide long non-coding RNA. RefSeq lists it as uncharacterized. NCBI's taxonomy places the organism in Eukaryota, Metazoa, Chordata, Actinopteri, Centrarchiformes, Sinipercidae. The record is from RefSeq and is a predicted model, not a curated record. The transcript has 3 exons.
CUAUUAUGUAGAGCACGUAUAUCUUCUCACCUAAUUAUUAAAUAAAAUAUUUGGUACUACUUUCUACUUCCAGACUUCAAGACAUGAGAGGGGGGGAGAAGGGCGGGCUUGAGUGACUCAGCGUCUAUCAUUCUGGGCUCACGUUCACUGUGUAUGUUCAGUGAACAAAUCUCUGAACGAGCACCUUUCCCUGUGAAAGGUUCAGAGACAGUCUCAGGCUCAGCCACCUGUUUUUUCAUAUUGCAGGUUUCACCACGUAUUGUAAGCUACGAGCUGCGACACACACACAAACGUUCCGUUCAGUGAGCGUAUCCUCAUAGCUGUCCUCUGUAAAAAAAACUCUAACGUUGUGUGUGUGUUGUUGAAUUAUUGCAGCUAAAUGUUAGCAACCUGAAUCGGCUGUGUAUUAGGUGUCUUGAACACACCCCAUUCCUCCUGCAAACGAAUGACAUGAAUCACUGGCUGUGUUUUAUUAGUUGUUCAACAUGCCCUCGUUGACUUCCCAUCACCACUUGCCUUUGCCGCCAUCAUAGGUGUCGUUCCAUUUGUCUGAAGAACUAAAGUGAACUUGGUGAGAUCGACCCUCGGAGGGCUGAGGGGCGAGUCAACAAUGAUAGUCACUCCAGAGGUGUACAUCACCCACAAAAGACUGCAGUUACACAUUUGGUGCAAGAAAAUACAUCCAUGGUUAGGUGGCAGUAGCCUACGUAAAACUCUGGUUGCUUACUUUCGAAGAAGAUAAAUAAAUUGAGCAAGACCUGGUGCAGUCAGAACAACCUGAAGCGCAACGUUCUCAAGACAGCAGAGAUGGUUGUGGAUUACACGAAGAACCUUACCCCACCUGCCCCCAUCACCCUGUGUGACUCCCCAGUUGACACUGUGGAGUCCCUCUGCUUCCUGGGCACCAUCAUCACCCAGGAUGAUGGUGCCCCAUCUCAAGUGGGAGCUGAACAUUAGCUCCUUCACCAAGAAAGCCCAGCAGAGGAUGUACUUCCUGCGGCAGCUGAAGAAAUUCAACCUGCCAAAGACAAUGAUGGUGUACUUCUACACCGCCAUCAUUGAGUCCAUCCUCACCUCCUCCAUCACCAUCUGGUAUGCUGCUGCCAAGGACAAGGGCAGACUGCAGCGUAUCAUUCGCUACGCAGAGAAGGUGACUGCAAUCUACCUUCCCUCCAGGACCUGUACGCCUCCAGGACCCUGAGCCAAGCUGGAAAGAUUGUGGCUGACCCCUCCCACCCCGGACACAAACUGUUUCAGACACUCCCCUCCAGCAUGAGGCUGUGGUCCAUCAGGACUAAAACCUCACACCACAAAAACUGUUUCUUUCCGUCUGCAGCUGGCCUCAUCAAGACCCGGGACCCCCACUGACACCCCACCAUAGUACAGUAUAACAGCUCACAUUAACUCUAUUUUUUUAUUAAAUUAGCUAACAUUACUAUCCUCCAAAGUAAGCUAGUGACAGUCUGCUCCAACGGUAACUACUAUGCAGUAGAUAAACUAUUGAUUCAUUACCUCUGUCUUUUUUCCUGUUUCUCUCUUCUUUUUCUUCCCUGGGCACCAGAUAGCUUUGAUCUUUUUUACAUGGUGUAAUUAGGCUAUCAUAAUAAUGUUGUUGUUGUAUCAUGUUUCACGUCGGCAUCGGUCAGUGUCACUCACUAGUUAAGAUACCUCCAAUCUAGGGUGACCAGAUGAGAACUGGUGAAAUUCAGGACAGGUCUGUUAGGGGGAGGGGCGUGGUCAAGUGAUAACGAUAACUUUGUGGCUCUGAAUUGGUUUAUCUCCUAUCUGUCAAACAGGUCCUUCUCUGUAAUGCUUGGAGAUGCCUCCUCCUCUCGUGCUUCUCUAUUUUUGGGGUCCCCAAGGAUCUAUUUUGGGUCCCCUCCUGUUUACCAUAUAAUGUCCAUGCUACCCCUGGGUCAAAUAAUGCGUAAUCAUGCCAUUGACUUCCAUUGCUAUGCAGAUGACGCCCAAUUUUAUGUCCCAAUAAAGCCUGGUACCACGAACGCAUCCUGCCUCACAGAGAUUUAAAAAUUGGAUGUCCAAAAAUUUGCUGAAAUUGCAUGACUCCAAAUCAGAGGUAUUUAUAACUACCCCUUGUGGCCCCAGUUCUAGCAGCAUUAAUAAUCUCUCCUCUAGUCUGGGUGCCUUAUCAAAUAAUGCCCACAACCUAGGUGUAAUUUUUGAUUCAGAAUUGUCCUUUGAUGCUCAGGUGACUAAAGUGGUGCAGUCCUGAUUUGCACAACUGAGACAGCUAAUCAAUAUCAGGUCAUUCCUUUCCUCUGCAGACUUAGAAACGGUCAUCCAUGCUUUUAUCUCUUCCAGACUUGACUGUUGCAAUGUACUUUAUUCUGGUAUCAGCAGGCGAAAUAUCCAAAGAUUGCAGCUGAUACAAAAUGCUGCUGCCAGGCUUUGAACACGUACUAAGAGAAGCGACCACAUUACACCGAUCCUUGCUGCCCAUCACUGGUUACCUGUGAGUUUUAGAAUUGAUUUUAAGAUUUUACUGCCUAUAUCUGUGAUCUGCUAACUUCCUAUGACCCUGAUCACUGCUUGAGAUCCUAAAUCCCUUCUUAUUUUCCCUUUUCAUGACAACUGUUUUUUUUUUUUUUUACAACUCACCCAUUUAAAUUAUAUUAAGGCUUAAAGUUCUGCAUAAUUAACGACAUGGCCGCUUUGAGUGACAGGUGGGGGGUGCCGGUGCUGUCACCUCUAGUGGAUUGCUGUCUGCUAGCCGCCCAUCACCUCAACUCAGCGGGUCACAGAAUUUGACCUCCCUGUCGUGUCUGUGCCUUUUGGAGAGUUUUUCAAUAAAAAAUCUGAAGAAUAAAAUGGCUUGCUAUGCGGUUUAGUGUACCAACAGACCUUCUAAGUCUUUGCUCCAGUUUUUUCGGUGAGUGAAAUUCUAGUAUUUUAUUUAUAUGUUAGCAAUAAUUAGCAGGUAUUGGUGUCUGCUCUCACCAUGCAUGGCUUGUUAGCUAAUUCGCCAGCUAAAGAAUUAGCCUUGAGUUAGCCUUCGAGCAAAACGCCCAGCUGUGCUAAUAAUGCUAACUUAACGGGAGCAUAUUUUAGUCACAGUUAUUAAACCAGCAUGCACUGAAGUAAAAACAUAAUAGAGAAGUGUUAGAAUUUAGGGUGAUAAUACUUUUGAACAUAUAACAUACAUUUAAAUAAAUAAAUAGAAUGAAAAUAUAUUAAAAAAUGAAAAAGAUAAAUAAAGCAUUACUUACUGGUGAUUUCUGGCAACAUACCCGAUUAUUGCCCGUCUAUUUCAUCAUAAUAUAACCCCACAUUAAUAUUACCCCUGUUAGUACAGCCCAGUAUAAAGAUUUUAAGUUAUGUGAUUAUUAUUAUUGUAAGCAGAUUAUCUUAUUAUUAGCAGCAUGUCAUUACUGAGAUGUCCUGUUUUUCCAGAUUCUCACCCCCCCAAAGUAUUCCCAUCAUUAUUACCAAAAUAUUACCAGGUUAUUACAGCAGUAAUUAUCAUGGUAUGAUACCAGUAUUACCAUAUUGUUGCCUUUGUUUACUUGUUGACAUAAUAUACCAUUUUAUUUAUAUUAUCUGUUAUUGAUUUUCCUUAUUACCAAGCUGUAAUGUGAAUGAUAUAUCACAACAAUCAUAGUCAGAUAGGAAUUAUACCUUGUAUGUGUACUGUGACAUGAGGAUAAACUGUUUUUCUCUUCUGUUGUUGCUGCUGGUCUCCUAGUAGCAGAUGAAGCUCUGCUGCUGCUUCUGCUGGUCUUGGUGGUGGUCUGUCUGGUCCUCAGGAGAAGACAAUGAGCCAAGCAGCCUGGAGCCUUCGUCCAAACUCCGUGUCUGUGCUCACCAGGACACAUGACUGUCAGGAACAAUUAUGAUGAUGAGGAGGAGGAUGAUGAGGUGGAGGAACAGCACUAUGUGAACUUUGAACCAAUGCACUCCAAGAAGAGGCAGAAAGAGAAAACAAGAAGGCUGGAGGAAGAGAAGAGUGAUGGAAAUCAUGAUUGUGAGGAAGAGGAGAGUGAUGAAGGUCAUGAUUAUGUGGGAAGCGAGGAGAUAUAUGCUAUUGUAGAGGACAAUGGAGAGGAAGAGGUGUGUGAAAAUAUUGUUGUAAAAUAAGUAGCUUAAGAGGAAGAAAGCAGUAAUACUGAUGACGACUAUGUUAAUGUACAGCAGCCCUUUGCUGAAGACGCGCUGGACAUUUACGCUGUGUUCACAGUGAAAAAGUGAAAAAAUCAAGUAUACUCAAACCAGACAUUAAAAUAAAUAAAAUUGUGGGGGGUGGUGAAACAGCUUCAAAAAGUUAGCAAAUAGUACAUGCUGUAUAGAAUUAGUAUGUUGGAUUUGGGACAUGGCAAAGACAUGCUGCCACUGGAAUUUUCUUUUUAAACUGGUACAGAUAUUUGCUGUCAAAGGAGUGUUAAGGGGAGUGAUGUGCUGUAUUUUUGAGCAUUAUUCUGUAUCUUUAUUUCUGUAUUUUUCAUUCAAGUAAGUGCAGCAAAACGUGAAUAUAAUGAAGAAAAGCUCUA